Molecule: microRNA precursor, 204 nt
Filed under: Oryza meridionalis
Lineage: Eukaryota; Viridiplantae; Streptophyta; Magnoliopsida; Poales; Poaceae
Description: MIR812 microRNA precursor family
Rfam family: MIR812 microRNA precursor family
Source: Rfam by way of RNAcentral
AAUAAAUAACGCCGUUGACUUUUUCUUACAUGUUUGACCAUUCGUCUUAUUCAAGAAAUUUACGUAACUAUAAUUUAUUUUGUUAUAAGUUGUUUUAUCACUUAUAUUACUUUAAGUGUGAUUUAUAUCGUAUACAUUUGCAUAAAAUUUUUGAAUAAAACGAAUGGUCAAACAUGUGAGAAAAAGUUAACGGCGUCAUCUAUU